GGCAUCCCAGAGCUCCGCUCCCUGGAGGCCCCUCCAGAGAGGGACCCGGGGCCCCGCCCCGCAGCUGGAGAAGGGGUGAAUGCCUUUCCUACCUAACGCCUGGUCCGCGGCCCUGCUUGUUGCGUCUCCAAGACCACGUGUCUGCUGCAUUUUAAAAAUAGUUGUGAACAUCUGACUUUCUCCUUUUGCUGGAGUGCAGUGGCACAAUCUCUGCUCACUGCAACCUCGGCUUCUCAGGUUCAAGCGAGUCUCCUGGCUCAGCCUUCCCAGUAGCUGGGAUUACAGGCGCGUGCCACCAUGCCCGGACUUUGGAGUUUGCUGAAAUGUAACCUCAGAAUAAGUGGGGUAUGACUGCCCUCUCCUUUGAGGGAAAAGAAAAAGUAUUUUCAGGCCAGGCACGGUGGCUCAUGCUUAUAAUCCCAGCACUUUGGGAGGCUGAGGUACCAUAAAUAUGAAAAGGCAAGAUAUUGGCAAUUCAGUACAACUUGUUUGUGUCCAGAAUACAUCAAUAAAAGAAGAACAAUUCAAGAGAAACAGGAAAUUCACAGAAGAGGAAACCGGAAUUGUCAUAAACAAAUGAAAAAUGCUCAACUUCCCUAGUAAUUAUGAGAAUUCAAAUCAAAAUAAAGACUUCAUUUCACA
Homo sapiens (human) is the source of this 642-nucleotide long non-coding RNA. NCBI's taxonomy places the organism in Eukaryota, Metazoa, Chordata, Mammalia, Primates, Hominidae. The record is from Ensembl.